RNAcentral lists this long non-coding RNA (370 nucleotides) under Coffea arabica (coffee). RNAcentral describes it as "long non-coding RNA (CARA_LNC006271)". The record is from RNAcentral. Lineage: Eukaryota; Viridiplantae; Streptophyta; Magnoliopsida; Gentianales; Rubiaceae.
UGGAAACUGAAGCAGGAACCAAACGUGCAGCCUGCAAUUCUUUUUCAAACUUUAAAGGGGAGGAGUUAAGAUCUUUAAACACCAGCUACAUGUUGAUUUUAGCUAGAAAUUUGAGCUUGUAUCUGAAGUGAAUGUCGGGCAGCAACUGUGAUCUCAGAAAAAAUUGCAGAAACUGAGUGUUGAGCUGGAACUUGCAACUGAUGUCAAAAUUUCUUGGGUUAAUAACGUUAUAAGGUGCAUGCAACAGAUUAUUUUUUUUCCUUCUUCAGUUUAAGGGGUUAGUCGUAGGUCAGUGAGUGUGAAGUGGAGAGAACCGUACGUGAAAGAACUCUGAUGCAAGCUGCGGUACUUCAGUUUUGCAGCCUUGCGC